This is a long non-coding RNA of Monodelphis domestica (gray short-tailed opossum), 1058 nucleotides long. Lineage: Eukaryota; Metazoa; Chordata; Mammalia; Didelphimorphia; Didelphidae. The record is from Ensembl.
AUGCAGCAAUUAUGAAGUUCAUUUCCAGAAGCCCGCUGUAUCUAUGGCAACCAGUAAUUCUGGAAGAAUAAAGACAGGUUAUAAACUGACUUCAAUGGGGAAAACUUUUAACAGAGAAGUCUCCGGGAACAACCAAAGAGCAGCUCGGCCUGUUUACUUCAAGUUCGAAGCAGUUUUUGCCACAUUUCAGGCAGCCCAUAAAGAGGAAUGAAAGCAACAGGGGGAUAAGAGUCAGGACUGAAAUCCCUGCUGCUCUGGGUCUAUUUGUGCACUGGGAGCUGCAUCGAGAUGAAACGGCAAAUGACCCCAAACUGCAAAGGCAUCCGAAUGGGACUGUUGCUGUCUCUGCCUCUUUUGACUCUGCCUUUGAUCCCUGCGGAUGACCUGCUGGGCAAUGUGAAUGCCACUGGCACAUAUAUGUUGUACCUACUGCGAAGGUGAGAGGAAACCUUUGCCUGCCAACCACAGGUUUUCCCCACUGUGUGUGUGCGCGUGUGUUCUUUUUGGAUAAGGGAGGGAGAUGGAUCAUCAGAAUGGACACUGAGAUCACUCUUUUUAGGACCAACACUUAACAGGCUUUUGUCAUUUGAUGAGAUAAUCAAAACAAGGACAUAUUCAUGACCUGUCCUCUCAAGGCUCUGGAGGACCAGGCUCAUUUUCAUCCUGGACCUUUAGAUCAGACCAAUAGACUGCUAUCUUCACUCUUCUGAGUCUUAGGACACACUCCAACAAGGCAAGUCUGGGCAGAUUAAGCCUGAUCCUAUCAUUGUAAAAACUAUAAUAGAAAAAGGUUCAUUUAUAUAAAAAACAGGCUUAUUGAUAAUGUCAAUCCCGUUGGGGAAAGUCUGGAAUAUGGGUAGAAUGGGAGGUUGAGACAACUUAAAAAUAAGCCUGUCAAAGUUUACAAACAAUUUAAAUACAUUAUUUUUGGAGGUACUUAAAGCAAUUGUGAAAUAGAUGCUGUCAUUAUUACUGUUUCCAUUUAAUAGUUGAAGAAAAUGAAGUGCAAAUGUGUUUCUUUUUGUUCCCUUCUUUAUUUGGGCUGGGGGGUAUCGGUU